This 440-nucleotide ribosomal RNA is filed under the name uncultured bacterium. Its description in RNAcentral is "partial 16S ribosomal RNA". It matches the Rfam family "Bacterial small subunit ribosomal RNA", at positions 338 to 795 of the family's 1533-position model. The record is from RNAcentral.
CCUACGGGUGGCAGCAGUGGGGAAUAUUGCACAAUGGGGGAAACCCUGAUGCAGCGACGCCGCGUGAGUGAGGAAGUAUUUCGGUAUGUAAAGCUCUAUCAGCAGGGAAGAAAAUGACGGUACCUGACUAAGAAGCCCCGGCUAACUACGUGCCAGCAGCCGCGGUAAUACGUAGGGGGCAAGCGUUAUCCGGAUUUACUGGGUGUAAAGGGAGCGUAGACGGCUAAUCAAGUCAGAAGUGAAAACCCAGGGCUCAACCUUGGGACUGCAUUGGGAACUACCGGGCUGGAGUGCCGGAGAGGUAGGCGGAAUUCCUAGUGUAGCGGUGAAAUGCGUAGAUAUUAGGAGGAACACCAGUGGCGAAGGCGGCCUACUGGACGGUGACUGACGCUGAGGCUCGAAAGCGUGGGGAGCAAACAGGAUUAGAUACCCGUGUAGUC